Molecule: long non-coding RNA, 644 nt
Organism: Microplitis mediator
Lineage: Eukaryota; Metazoa; Arthropoda; Insecta; Hymenoptera; Braconidae
Exons: 3
Source: RefSeq, a predicted model, not a curated record
AAGACAACGUGCCAGUACAAACGCUUUGCAACGUACUCUGAAGAAAUGUUUUUUCUAAGUCUCCGAUUGAGGUGCCAAGUAAGAAUUGUCGAAGAGUUCAAAAGCAGUGAUCGGUCAGGGAGUCGAACAAUGAUAAGAUGGCUUCCAUCUUCAUCGCACAAAUAGAGGAAUAAAUUUUAAGAUCACUACCACGGGUAUCAUAUUUUCUUGUCGUAUUGAGGCACAAUCGAACUUGUAACUGCACCGAGGAAACCUGUCAGGUCCAAGUUCACAAGUUGCUUCAAAAUCGCAAUGUAUAUCUUUGCACAUCUCUUGAGCACUAGUUACUUCCGUAACUGCAGUCGACAGCCGAGUUGCUGAAGGUGUAGACAUUGUUGCUGUGGAUGCGAGGGUUAGUUAAUGUCAUAACAUUAAGUUUGAAGUAUACUGAAGAAAAGUCCAUUUUCAGAGUUUUUCUGGCUGACCAAUUAAUUUUACGACUUAAACACAAGAGACUUUUUUUGAAGAAAAUUUAAUUCUCUACAAUAUUGUCCAUGACCAUUUUUACUGUAUCUUUAAUAGUUUUUAUUAAAUUUGCAUUUUACAAAUUUAGAAUGUUAAAAUUUGUUUAUAACCAGCGAAAAAUUGAAUAAAUAAAAAAAAAA